RNAcentral lists this transfer RNA (88 nucleotides) under Perkinsus olseni. RNAcentral describes it as "tRNA-Ser". The stretch from base 20 to 88 matches the Rfam family "tRNA". From Rfam's summary of the family: Transfer RNA (tRNA) molecules are approximately 80 nucleotides in length. Their secondary structure includes four short double-helical elements and three loops (D, anti-codon, and T loops). Further hydrogen bonds mediate the characteristic L-shaped molecular structure. tRNAs have two regions of fundamental functional importance: the anti-codon, which is responsible for specific mRNA codon recognition, and the 3' end, to which the tRNAs corresponding amino acid is attached (by aminoacyl-tRNA synthetases). tRNAs cope with the degeneracy of the genetic code in two manners: having more than one tRNA (with a specific anti-codon) for a particular amino acid; and 'wobble' base-pairing, i.e. permitting non-standard base-pairing at the 3rd anti-codon position. The record is from RNAcentral. Lineage: Eukaryota; Perkinsozoa; Perkinsida; Perkinsidae.
GCCAGAUUCGGCCCAAUAUGACACUUUGGCCGGCGGCCUGCUAAGCCAUAGGGCUCUGCCCGCGAGGGUUCGAAUCCCUCAGGUGUCG